UACGAAGGGGGCUAGCGUUGGUCGGAAUUACUGGGCGUAAAGGGCGCGUAGGCGGCGUGUCAAGUCAGGCGUGAAAGCCCCGGGCUCAACCUGGGAACCGCGCUUGAGACUGGCAUGCUCGAGUUCGGGAGAGGAUGGUGGAAUUCCCAGUGUAGAGGUGAAAUUCGUAGAUAUUGGGAAGAACACCGAUGGCGAAGGCAGCCAUCUGGACCGACACUGACGCUGAGGCGCGAAAGCGUGGGGAGCAAACAGG
Molecule: ribosomal RNA, 253 nt
Filed under: uncultured bacterium
Lineage: Bacteria
Description: partial 16S ribosomal RNA
Rfam family: Bacterial small subunit ribosomal RNA
Source: RNAcentral